This is a long non-coding RNA of Ochotona curzoniae (black-lipped pika), 358 nucleotides long. RefSeq lists it as uncharacterized. The record is from RefSeq and is a predicted model, not a curated record. NCBI's taxonomy places the organism in Eukaryota, Metazoa, Chordata, Mammalia, Lagomorpha, Ochotonidae. The transcript is spliced from 3 exons.
GCCCGGGAGCGCUCGCCCCGCAGCUCGGGCGGCUGGCAGGCGGGCUGGCGCCGGUCGCGUCGGCCGGCAGCAGGGCCCAUGUGGAAGCUCCUCCCGGCCGCGGGCCCAGCCCGAGAACCAUACAGACUUUUGACUGGCACUGAGUACGUCGUUGGAAGGAAAAACUGUGCUAUUCUAAUUGAAGAUGAUCAGUCAAUCAGUCGAAAUCAUGCAGUGUUAAGCACUAAUUUUGCUGUGACCAAGUUGGCUCCACCUGACCCGGACCGACCCCCCAGGAGGGCGAAGACGCACCUUCGCGUGUUGAACCGAAUGGAACCGAAUGGAACGGAGAGCGGUCGGAGCUCCCAGGCCGCAUCCC